Gossypium hirsutum (cotton) is the source of this 106-nucleotide non-coding RNA. NCBI's taxonomy places the organism in Eukaryota, Viridiplantae, Streptophyta, Magnoliopsida, Malvales, Malvaceae. The record is from Rfam.
AUGUCAUGAUGAGGACAUUUUCGCAACAGCUCCUUGAAUCGCUCCCAUGCAUAAUAGAGACAUUUUUCGUCAAAUUGUUGAAAUGAGUGAUUUUAUUUUUGAGUUU